GAUAAACACUGGCGGCGUGCCUAAUACAUGCAAGUCGAUCGGAAGCGGAGCAAUCCGCUUUAGAGGCGAACGGGUGAGUAAGACAUAAGCAACCUGGCCACAAAGACGGGGAUAACACUUGGAAACGAGCGCUAAUACCGGAUAAGUAUCAGCGGGGCAUUCCGCUGAUAUAAAAGGGAGAGAAACGCGAGUGGAUGGGCUUAUGGUGCAUUAGUUAGUUGGCGGGAUAAGAGCCCACCAAGACGAUGAUGCAUAGCCGGACUGAGAGGUUGACCGGCCACAUUGGGACUGAGACACGGCCCAGACUCCUGCGGGAGGCAGCAGUAGGGAAUUUUCGGCAAUGGGGGGAACCCUGACCGAGCAACGCCGCGUGAGUGAAGAAGUUUUUCGGAAUGUAAAGCUCUGUUGUAAGGGAAGAAGAGAUAUGGAGGACCAUAUUGUGACGGUACCUUACGAGGAAGCCACGGCUAACUACGUGCCAGCAGCCGCGGUAAUACGUAGGUGGCGAGCGUUAUCCGGAAUUAUUGGGCGUAAAGGGUGCGUAGGCGGCCGACUAAGUUCAAGGUGAAAGCGUGGGGCUCAACCCCAUAAAGCCUUGGAUACUGGUUGGCUGGAGUACUGGAGAGGGUAGUGGAAUUCCAUGUGUAGCGGUAAAAUGCGUAGAUAUAUGGAGGAACACCGGAGGCGAAAGCGGCUACCUGGACAGUAACUGACGCUGAGGCACGAAAGCGUGGGGAGCGAAUAGGAUUAGAUACCCUAGUAGUCCACGCCGUAAACGAUGAAUACUAAAUGUCGGGGAAACCCGGUGUUGGAACAAACGCAAUAAGUAUUCCGCCUGUGGAGUAUGCACGCAAGUGUGAAACAUAAAGGAAUUGACGGGGGCCCGCACAGGCGGUGGAGCAUGUGGUUUAAUUCGACGCAAC
This 923-nucleotide ribosomal RNA is filed under the name uncultured Erysipelotrichaceae bacterium. Its description in RNAcentral is "bacterial SSU rRNA". It matches the Rfam family "Bacterial small subunit ribosomal RNA", at positions 28 to 960 of the family's 1533-position model. The record is from RNAcentral. Lineage: Bacteria; Bacillati; Bacillota; Erysipelotrichia; Erysipelotrichales; Erysipelotrichaceae.